This 296-nucleotide ribosomal RNA is filed under the name uncultured bacterium. RNAcentral's name for it is "partial 16S ribosomal RNA". It matches the Rfam family "Bacterial small subunit ribosomal RNA", at positions 775 to 1067 of the family's 1533-position model. The record is from RNAcentral.
GGAUUAGAUACCCUGGUAGUCCACGCCGUAAACGAUGGAUACUCGGUGUUAGGUUAUUCAAUCGACCUAGUGCCUAAGCUAACGCGUUAAGUAUCCCGCCUGAGGAGUACGAUCGCAAGAUUAAAACUCAAAGGAAUAGACGGGGACCCACACAAGCGGUGGAGCAUCUUGUUUAAUUCGAUAAUAAGCGGGAAACCUUACCUAGGCUUGACAUCCCGGAGAAUUUUCUAGAGAUAGAAAAGUGCCUUUUGGAACUCCGGUGACAGGUGCUGCAUGGUUGUCGUCAGCUCGUGCCG